UACUGCGGCAGCGGCCCCGGUACAUGACGCGCAGGUCCGGGUGGCCGCGGCAGCGCGCGGCUCGCAGCUCGCACUCGUCGCGAGGCGUUUCCCACAAUUUAUGACAGCGACAUCUGCAUGGGCCCGGAGGCGCUGUGUCCGGGGGGCUUUGCUGCAGCCAGACACAUUUCCUACUUGGGACUGAUGCUGCGGUGGAGGCCUCCGGAUCUGUCAGGGCGCCCGUGGCGAGCUCAAGGGUUCUGCGGAGCUCCUCUGUUCCCGCUUCUAAGGAACCAUCAGUGAACAUCUCUUGUUGGCCAGAGGGGCCCUGCAGGGUGCUGGGGUGCCGUGGUGACCAAGGCAGACCCCAUCACACGCUCACCGAGCUCCUGGUUUGGAGGGGCCAUAGACAGCAAAAUGCAGAGACAAAUUAAUCUGUAACUUCAAAGACUGGUAAAUGCUUUCAGGAAAAUAAAGAAGGUUGAGGAGAUGGAGAGCA
Molecule: non-coding RNA, 478 nt
Organism: Macaca mulatta (Rhesus monkey)
Lineage: Eukaryota; Metazoa; Chordata; Mammalia; Primates; Cercopithecidae
Source: RefSeq, a predicted model, not a curated record